Molecule: small nucleolar RNA, 117 nt
Filed under: Echinops telfairi (small Madagascar hedgehog)
Lineage: Eukaryota; Metazoa; Chordata; Mammalia; Afrosoricida; Tenrecidae
Description: Small nucleolar RNA SNORA44 (ENSETEG00000026640.1)
Rfam family: Small nucleolar RNA SNORA44
About the family: ACA44 is a member of the H/ACA class of snoRNA that guide the sites of modification of uridines to pseudouridines.
Source: RNAcentral
GCACAUGUUCCCAAGGUCUGUGGCUCCUGUGGCCCAUCUGAUCUCCAACUGCAUGUGAGAGCAACAUGGAGAGACUUUGACAGCUCAGGUCAGCAAAGUAUUGCCUUUCCUAUAAAA